UUUGAUUGGUUAAAAUUUACAUGAGUUUCAUCAAAUCAUGUGGUUCCCAUAUAAAUUUUGUGAGACGUAUGUGAACUUUAACCAAUCAAAG
This 91-nucleotide microRNA precursor is filed under the name Medicago truncatula (barrel medic). Its description in RNAcentral is "miR2642 stem-loop (mtr-MIR2642)". Lineage: Eukaryota; Viridiplantae; Streptophyta; Magnoliopsida; Fabales; Fabaceae. The record is from miRBase by way of RNAcentral.